This 109-nucleotide microRNA precursor is filed under the name Scleropages formosus (Asian bonytongue). RNAcentral describes it as "mir-223 microRNA precursor family". It matches the Rfam family "mir-223 microRNA precursor family". The record is from Rfam by way of RNAcentral. Lineage: Eukaryota; Metazoa; Chordata; Actinopteri; Osteoglossiformes; Osteoglossidae.
CUGGCUUCAAGCGCGGGCCUCCCACUUAGUGUAUUUGACAAGCUGAGUUAGACACUCAGUAUGACGCGGUGUCAGUUUGUCAAAUACCCCAAGUGAGAGGUCGCUCAUC